Molecule: non-coding RNA, 134 nt
Organism: Triticum aestivum (bread wheat)
Lineage: Eukaryota; Viridiplantae; Streptophyta; Magnoliopsida; Poales; Poaceae
Source: Rfam
GUGAUACUUCCUUCGUUCCAAAAUACUUGUCAUUAAAAUGGAUAAAAAAAAUAUAUCUACAACUAAUAUACAUGUAGAUACAUCCCUUUUUAUUUAUUUUGAUGACAAGUAUUUUCGGACGGAGGGAGUACUAG